UGGCGACCGGCGCACGGGUGAGUAACGCGUAUGCAACUUACUUAUCAGGAGGGGAUAGCCCGGCGAAAGUCGGAUUAAUACCCCAUGAAACAGGGGUCCCGCAUGGGAAUAUUUGUUAAAGAUUCAUCGCUGAUAGAUAGGCAUGCGUUCCAUUAGGCAGUUGGCGGGGUAACGGCCCACCAAACCGACGAUGGAUAGGGGUUCUGAGAGGAAGGUCCCCCACAUUGGUACUGAGACACGGACCAA
Molecule: ribosomal RNA, 246 nt
Filed under: uncultured bacterium
Lineage: Bacteria
Description: partial 16S ribosomal RNA
Rfam family: Bacterial small subunit ribosomal RNA
Source: RNAcentral